This 492-nucleotide ribosomal RNA is filed under the name uncultured bacterium. Its description in RNAcentral is "partial 16S ribosomal RNA". It matches the Rfam family "Bacterial small subunit ribosomal RNA", at positions 29 to 507 of the family's 1533-position model. The record is from RNAcentral.
AGUGAACGCUGGCGGUAGGCCUAACACAUGCAAGUCGAACGGCAGCACAGUAAGAGCUUGCUCUUACGGGUGGCGAGUGGCGGACGGGUGAGGAAUACAUCGGAAUCUACUUUUUCGUGGGGGAUAACGUAGGGAAACUUACGCUAAUACCGCAUACGACCUACGGGUGAAAGCAGGGGAUCUUCGGACCUUGCGCGAUUGAAUGGGCCGAUGUCGGAUUAGCUAGUUGGCGGGGUAAAGGCCCACCAAGGCGACGAUCCGUAGCUGGUCUGAGAGGAUGAUCAGCUACACUGGAACUGAGACACGGUCCAGACUCCUACGGGAGGCAGCAGUGGGGAAUAUUGGACAAUGGGCGCAAGCCUGAUCCAGCCAUACCGCGUGGGUGAAGAAGGCCUUCGGGUUGUAAAGCCCUUUUGUUGGGAAAGAAAAGCAGCAGGUUAAUACCCCGCUGUUCUGACGGUACCCAAAGAAUAAGCACCGGCUAACUUCGUG